Molecule: ribosomal RNA, 358 nt
Filed under: uncultured bacterium
Lineage: Bacteria
Description: bacterial SSU rRNA
Rfam family: Bacterial small subunit ribosomal RNA
Source: RNAcentral
UCCAUGCAGUGGCAACACUGCGGAAGACCUAGUGGCGGACGGGUGAGUAACACGUGAGGAACUUGCCCCGGAGACCGGGAUAACUCUCCGAAAGGAGAGCUAAUACCGGAUGUCCUCACCGAGCCGCAUGGUUUGGUGAAGAAAUGGAUUCCGCUCCGGGAGAGCUUCGCGGCCUAUCAGCUAGUUGGUGGGGUAACGGCCCACCAAGGCAUCGACGGGUAGCUGGUCUGAGAGGACGAUCAGCCACACUGGGACUGAGACACGGCCCAGACUCCUACGGGAGGCAGCAGUGGGGAAUCUUGCGCAAUGGGCGAAAGCCUGACGCAGCGACGCCGCGUGUGGGAUGAAGGCCUUCGGG